This 2433-nucleotide long non-coding RNA is filed under the name Sus scrofa (pig). Its description in RNAcentral is "lncRNA (ENSSSCG00025031603.1)". The record is from RNAcentral. Lineage: Eukaryota; Metazoa; Chordata; Mammalia; Artiodactyla; Suidae.
AUGAGAAGGCACAGCCAUCACAGCAGAGCUGGGGACGUGGGGACGUCCGUCAGCCUCCAGGGUGAGGCACACACUGCAUCUGGACCCUGUGCAGUGAGGCGUGUGCUAUCCGAGGCUGGCCGUGCCCGACUCCCUGCACAGGGGGCUCGUGCCCUGCCCACCACAGAGCCGCCCCACCAGGGCGGCGGUCCCCUGCGACGGAGGGCCCCCCACGCUGCCGGCCGUCGUGUCCACAUGCCUCCGCCAAGUCACACCCAGCCCCAGCAGAAACGUCUACAGAGAGCGCAGGAGUUUCCAACUGUGGGAAGUGGAUACUGGCGCCUGUUGACUCAAAUUCUUCUUAAUUUUUAUUUUUCCAGCCGCUGCGAGACUCCCCGAAUAAUUCUCUCAGGUCUUCUGAUGAGCAGUUGCCAUUUUCCCUUUCAGAAAACUGGGAGAGGAAGGACCCGGGCAGACCCUGGCGGCAGUGGGGGGCAGAGCCGGCCUGUCCCCGGCCUCUCCCGCCUGCGGCCUUGGUCCCUUCCGGGGAAGCGAUUUGACCGCAGAGCCGAGUUCUCCACCUGCUCCAGGCACGUCAGAGGGGCGCCCUCACCGUGCUACAGACGGACGCUCGCCCCUCAAGGAGUCACCCCAAGUCACACGCCUGCUCUCACCGCCCAGAGUCUCUUACAUCCCCAAAUCCUGACUUUGUCGUCCGCCCCCGCCCCCCCGCCCAGGGCUGUCGGCACCACACGUGGCCUCCUUUUCGGGACCUACUGGGCGCCAGUGGAUUAGAAGCCACGCAGGAGACGGAAGUUUCAGGUUAGUGGGAAAACCCCUGGCUUUUUUGAAACACUGUCCUUGCGCUUAAUUUUAAUUUCCAGACCCUGGAAAACAUUGCCUAUGUGAGAAUGGACCACAGUCACCAGUCGGCCGCCAGGAGAGUGACAGGCUGGCUUCCUCUCCCAACUCAGGUUCCCAGACACGACACCACAGGGGCCUCGGGCCGCGUCCGCCUGGGCGGGUCGCACUGAGAUUUCGUCUGGGAGCCGAAGGUUCCCGGGGGGGCGGAGGGGGGGAUGCCCGGGGGGGGGCGGAGGGGGGGAUGCCAGGCGCGGAAGGACCGCCGAGUGGCUGAAUUAGAUCCUUGAUUUCAUCAGCUGCCUUGGGUUGGCUGUGAUCCUCUUUCGUCAAAAGGAAGCCUCGGUUUCCCUCAUUUUGACUGUCGGGCUGAAACAGCAGCUUAACAGAAACACCCAAGCGUCACGACAACACACUCUGUAAAAAUGGGGCAAGAGCAAGACAGGACUCCCUGCAGAGGCGCUCCCCCUGCACAGGGACUGAGACCCAGGGGACUUCAAAACAAGGCCCCUUUCAACUAAGAGGACAAGCAUUGCCUGCGUACGCCAGACACGGGGCCUCUCGCACACAGGGCACUGGAACAGAUCACGCUCCCCAGUGCGGGAAGCUCACUGUUUCUUAGAAUAGCCAUCCAUAAAGUUAGCUUUGUGGCUUACAAAAAAGGACCAAGUCAUGGAUGUGAAGAAACGCCCGCCUUUGGACGCCCACCGAGCUUUCCCACGCGGGGCGCCCUCGGCCCCUGUGUGGGGGCCUCUCAGGUCCACGCCCGCUGCCAUGUGACCUUUUCGAGCUCCCGCUCCCUCGGCCAGGUCGUCUGUUUUCCCUUCAUUGUUCUGCUACUUCUAACUGCAGUUUCAAAGAUUACACGACUGCCCCAAAGACCCCGAGCACGAAACUGAAGCAUUUCAGGAAGGUGGUUGACCCGCCGCUAGGCCAGAGCUGUGGCUAAAUCUCUGCCUUCGCUGGACUUUGGCAGAAGAUUUUUAAAUCUGCAAAAGAUGUCACACAAUUGGAUUUUACUUGACGUGAUGACAACUUCAUUAAAAUAUUUAAUUAAUAAAAUAUUUAAGAAAAAAAUGUGGCCCCCAAAAAGUGUAUUUUGGGAGUUCCCAUUGUGGCACAGUGGUUAAUGAAUCCGACUAGGAGCCAUGAGGUUGCGGGUUCAGUCCCUGCCCUUGCUCAGUGGGUUAACGAUCCAGCAUUGCCGUGAGCUGCUUGCGGUGUAGGCUCAGAUCCCGCGUUGCUGUGGCUCUGGCAUAGACUGGUGGCUACGGCUCCGAUUAGACCCCUAGCCUGGGAAUCUCCAUAUGCCACGGGAGCGGCCCAAGAAAUAGAAAAAAAAAAAAAAGUGUAUUUUGAAGAAAAUGUAAGAUUCCACCAAAAGUAGAAGCAGCUUCAGAACCCACUGGAUUUUUUUGUUUCCUUAUAUACCUUUUCUUUAAAAAAAACAACAAAAACAAAAAACAAAACAAACAAAAAACAAAAACAAAAAACGCUGCCAAUUAGAUGGAUUUAAGAUUCAACCAAGGCAUUUUUUUUUUAUUCAAAGGAUACCGUUGUGGUUUGAGGAGGCGCGGAUUUAGAGCAGAAAUC